GCGGGCGUAGUUCAGUGGUAGAACGCCGCUCUGAUAAAGCGGAGGUUGAUGGUUCGAUUCCAUCCGCCCGCA
Molecule: transfer RNA, 72 nt
Filed under: Pseudomonadota bacterium
Lineage: Bacteria; Pseudomonadati; Pseudomonadota
Also listed under: 1 other name
Description: tRNA-Ile
Rfam family: tRNA
About the family: Transfer RNA (tRNA) molecules are approximately 80 nucleotides in length. Their secondary structure includes four short double-helical elements and three loops (D, anti-codon, and T loops).
Source: RNAcentral